CUGCACGGUGCUAACCCCGGGCUUGUCGGAUUAAUACUUCUUGAAGAAGGAAGCCCCAAUGCCUGUGCUAGAUCCACUAUGCCAUUCAGUGUUGCAGGCUAUGACAAAUCUUGUGAUUGGUCUGUGUCAAAGCAAUGGAUACAGUU
This 146-nucleotide small nucleolar RNA is filed under the name Setaria italica (foxtail millet). RNAcentral describes it as "snoRNA snoR134". It matches the Rfam family "small nucleolar RNA snoR134". RNAcentral also lists the same sequence under 1 other name. Lineage: Eukaryota; Viridiplantae; Streptophyta; Magnoliopsida; Poales; Poaceae. The record is from Rfam by way of RNAcentral.